This 598-nucleotide long non-coding RNA is filed under the name Numida meleagris (helmeted guineafowl). Its description in RNAcentral is "lncRNA (ENSNMEG00000001873.1)". Lineage: Eukaryota; Metazoa; Chordata; Aves; Galliformes; Numididae. The record is from RNAcentral.
AAAACCAACCAACCAAAAAACCACAACACUACCAAAGGCAGAUGACACCCAUCUGGGGAAAACCACUGCUACUGAAGAUGCACAUUACUUAUUCUUUGGGAAACCUACAGUACAAAGUCCCUAGACCACUUCUGUGAAAAAAACAAGCACACUAUAGGUUUUCUCCUUAAUGUUCCAUAUUCCUUCUUCAUAUCCUCAAGUGGACGUACAGGUGGUAGAAUUGCCUCUGAUUACGCCAAAUGUAGACUGGAUCAUGCAUGGAAGCAUCGCUGACAGUCAUUCACCAUGAAUUCUCCCCUGAUCUCAAGCAUAGAGUUCAAUAUAAAUUUUUGUCCCACAGGCUACUUUGGCAGAUUGUAGAAGAACUGUAUGUAAUUAGCACCAAAAAGAAAUUAAUCUGAGAAGACAAAAGCUAUCAUCAAAAGAUAACAUGGAUACUGAUUUUCUGUGCGUGGCAGGAGUUGGAACAGAUGCAGUGAAGCAGAAGCUAGAAGAAUCUGUUUGCUCUGAUUGCUGGCCAGAGGGCAACGUGGGGUACAUGGGAAAGCUGAGGGCAAAGGAACAGCUCUUUCAGACUGAUCAAAGUCUGCAACCAUAG